GACGAACGCUGGCGGCGUGCUUAACACAUGCAAGUCGAACGGAAAGGCCCUGCUUUUGUGGGGUGCUCGAGUGGCGAACGGGUGAGUAACACGUGAGUAACCUGCCCUUGACUUUGGGAUAACUUCAGGAAACUGGGGCUAAUACCGGAUAGGAGCUCCUGCUGCAUGGUGGGGGUUGGAAAGUUUCGGCGGUUGGGGAUGGUCUCGCGGGUUAUCAGCUUGUUGGUGGGGUAGUGGCUUACCAGGGCUUUGACGGGUAGCCGGCCUGAGAGGUUGACCGGCCACCUUGGGACUGAGAUACGGCCCAGACUGCUACGGGACGCAGCAGUGGGGAAUAUGGCACAAUGGGCGGAAGCCUGAUGCAGCAACGCCGCGUGCGGGAUGCCGGCCUUCGGGUUGUAAACCGCUUUCGCCUGUGACGAAGCGGGAGUGACGGUAAUGGGUAAAGAAGCACCGGCUAACUACGUG
RNAcentral lists this ribosomal RNA (468 nucleotides) under uncultured bacterium. RNAcentral describes it as "partial 16S ribosomal RNA". It matches the Rfam family "Bacterial small subunit ribosomal RNA", at positions 28 to 507 of the family's 1533-position model. The record is from RNAcentral.